This 429-nucleotide ribosomal RNA is filed under the name bacterium. Its description in RNAcentral is "partial 16S ribosomal RNA". It matches the Rfam family "Bacterial small subunit ribosomal RNA", at positions 355 to 776 of the family's 1533-position model. The record is from RNAcentral.
UGGGGAAUAUUGGACAAUGGGCGAAAGCCUGAUCCAGCCAUGCCGCGUGUGUGAAGAAGGCCUUUUGGUUGUAAAGCACUUUAAGCGAGGAGGAGGCUACUUGGAUUAAUACUCUAGGAUAGUGGACGUUACUCGCAGAAUAAGCACCGGCUAACUCUGUGCCAGCAGCCGCGGUAAUACAGAGGGUGCGAGCGUUAAUCGGAUUUACUGGGCGUAAAGCGUGCGUAGGCGGCUUUUUAAGUCGGAUGUGAAAUCCCUGAGCUUAACUUAGGAAUUGCAUUCGAUACUGGAAGCUAGAGUAUGGGAGAGGAUGGUAGAAUUCCAGGUGUAGCGGUGAAAUGCGUAGAGAUCUGGAGGAAUACCGAUGGCGAAGGCAGCCAUCUGGCCUAAUACUGACGCUGAGGUACGAAAGCAUGGGGAGCAAACAGG